GCCUGGGUAGCUCAGUGGUAGAGCAGUGGCCUGAAGAGCCACGUGUCGAGUGUUCAAUUCACUCCCCAGGCA
This 72-nucleotide transfer RNA is filed under the name Candidatus Spechtbacteria bacterium RIFCSPLOWO2_01_FULL_43_12. Its description in RNAcentral is "tRNA-Phe". It matches the Rfam family "tRNA". Rfam says of the family: Transfer RNA (tRNA) molecules are approximately 80 nucleotides in length. Their secondary structure includes four short double-helical elements and three loops (D, anti-codon, and T loops). Further hydrogen bonds mediate the characteristic L-shaped molecular structure. tRNAs have two regions of fundamental functional importance: the anti-codon, which is responsible for specific mRNA codon recognition, and the 3' end, to which the tRNAs corresponding amino acid is attached (by aminoacyl-tRNA synthetases). tRNAs cope with the degeneracy of the genetic code in two manners: having more than one tRNA (with a specific anti-codon) for a particular amino acid; and 'wobble' base-pairing, i.e. permitting non-standard base-pairing at the 3rd anti-codon position. The record is from RNAcentral. Lineage: Bacteria; Candidatus Spechtiibacteriota.